UAAAAAAAAUAGGAGAGAAAAAAAAGAGGGGGAAAAAACAUUAAAAAUAAGAAGAAAAAAGAGGAAGAAGAAAGAGAUUUUAAAAGAAAAAGGGAGAAAAAAGGAAGAAAAAAAAAAAGGAAGGAAAAGACCCAAGAAAGAGAAAGUCUAAAGGGAAGAUAAUUUGAAAGAGGAUUCCUAAAGUAAGUCAAGACAUGAAUUUGUCUUUAAGCACAGCAGAAUGUACUGCUGUGAAAGGAGCUGAAGCUUCUACCCUGUGUUGCACAUGCAUCAAAUUAAGCAGAAUUCUCCUCCCUGGGCUGGAUAAUGUCUUCCAGAUCCUUUGGCCUGGAUCUUUUUCUUUUUGCCUUUCAGACUAUCCUUCUACUGUGAGCUAAGCUAAAAGGAGAGAAGUUGUUUAUAGUGACAGUUUGCCAUAGGAAUAUCAGCAUCUUUGUAAGGGAUUAGUUCCUGCUGACUCCAGCGUUUCCUGCUGAUCCGUUCCCUAACAACCAGGAAACUUCAGGAAAAGAGAUGGAUUUGGACUGAGAGUGAUCACACUGAAAAAUUCCCACUGGCUGCACCAAAACCUUUCCCUUUCCCCACAUCUGAGGAGAGCCUGAAGGAGCUGGGGCUGUGCUGCUUGGAGAAGAGGACACUGAGAGUUGACCUCGACAGUGGUUAUGAAGUUGUGAAGGCCCUUCCCCAGCUUCAUUGCCCUCCUCUGGACCUGCUCCAGCACCUCCACAUCUCUCCUGUACUGCAGUUGACUUGGCACAUGUUUUUGCUGCUGUGAGAAGUGAAAGAGAAGAGGAUAAAACUCUGCUCUUCAUCCCUGCCUCCUGUGAGACAGCAGUGGCCCAGAAGAGCUCCCCCAGAAUCCACAGUUCUGUGGCAGCCACAUUUUAGCAGAACCAGGCUGCCACUCUUCUGCCCAGCAGUUCUGUGCCAGAAUAACACUUCAGUGUGUACUGCUUCCAAAAGUGGCUGCCUUUAAUCAUUGCUAGACAAGGAAUGAAUUGAUGAACUUCAUAGUGAGGAAAUGGUAACUGCUCUCUUUCCCUCUAUUGGUCUGAAAGUCUCUUAUGGUCUGGGGGGGGGUUAUUUGAAAUAGUGAGGGGUAAGUAGCCUGCAAAGUGUUUUGUAGAUGUUAGGAACUGUAAUUAAAACCCAUUUGCUUGCCCUAGUUAUUUUUAGAAAGUGGAUGAGGAUAGCCUGUUCUGCACUGCCCUCUGCUUGGGAGAGCACUGAGCCACCCAAUCUCCCCUCACUGUGCUUGGAGGAACAUCAAAAGUGCCUCUAACAAAGACAUGCUUUUAAAGCCCAAGCAAAUGAGCUGCAAGCACCACUUACAUUUAUGCUUU
Pogoniulus pusillus (Red-fronted tinkerbird) is the source of this 1343-nucleotide long non-coding RNA. RefSeq lists it as uncharacterized. The transcript is spliced from 6 exons. The record is from RefSeq and is a predicted model, not a curated record. NCBI's taxonomy places the organism in Eukaryota, Metazoa, Chordata, Aves, Piciformes, Lybiidae.